GGUUAAGCGACUAAGCGUACACGGUGGAUGCCCUGGCAGUCAGAGGCGAUGAAGGACGUGCUAAUCUGCGAUAAGCGUCGGUAAGGUGAUAUGAACCGUUAUAACCGGCGAUUUCCGAAUGGGGAAACCCAGUGUGAUUCGUCACACUAUCAUUAACUGAAUCCAUAGGUUAAUGAGGCGAACCGGGGGAACUGAAACAUCUAAGUACCCCGAGGAAAAGAAAUCAACCGAGAUUCCCCCAGUAGCGGCGAGCGAACGGGGAGCAGCCCAGAGCCUGAAUCAGUGUGUGUGUUAGUGGAAGCGUCUGGAAAGGCGCGCGAUACAGGGUGACAGCCCCGUACACAAAAAUGCACAUGCUGUGAGCUCGAUGAGUAGGGCGGGACACGUGGUAUCCUGUCUGAAUAUGGGGGGACCAUCCUCCAAGGCUAAAUACUCCUGACUGACCGAUAGUGAACCAGUACCGUGAGGGAAAGGCGAAAAGAACCCCGGCGAGGGGAGUGAAAAAGAACCUGAAACCGUGUACGUACAAGCAGUGGGAGCACGCUUAGGCGUGUGACUGCGUACCUUUUGUAUAAUGGGUCAGCGACUUAUAUUCUGUAGCAAGGUUAACCGAAUAGGGGAGCCGAAGGGAAACCGAGUCUUAACUGGGCGUUAAGUUGCAGGGUAUAGACCCGAAACCCGGUGAUCUAGCCAUGGGCAGGUUGAAGGUUGGGUAACACUAACUGGAGGACCGAACCGACUAAUGUUGAAAAAUUAGCGGAUGACUUGUGGCUGGGGGUGAAAGGCCAAUCAAACCGGGAGAUAGCUGGUUCUCCCCGAAAGCUAUUUAGGUAGCGCCUCGUGAAUUCAUCUCCGGGGGUAGAGCACUGUUUCGGCAAGGGGGUCAUCCCGACUUACCAACCCGAUGCAAACUGCGAAUACCGGAGAAUGUUAUCACGGGAGACACACGGCGGGUGCUAACGUCCGUCGUGAAGAGGGAAACAACCCAGACCGCCAGCUAAGGUCCCAAAGUCAUGGUUAAGUGGGAAACGAUGUGGGAAGGCCCAGACAGCCAGGAUGUUGGCUUAGAAGCAGCCAUCAUUUAAAGAAAGCGUAAUAGCUCACUGGUCGAGUCGGCCUGCGCGGAAGAUGUAACGGGGCUAAACCAUGCACCGAAGCUGCGGCAGCGACGCUGAUGCGUUGUUGGGUAGGGGAGCGUUCUGUAAGCCUGCGAAGGUGUGCUGUGAGGUAUGCUGGAGGUAUCAGAAGUGCGAAUGCUGACAUAAGUAACGAUAAAGCGGGUGAAAAGCCCGCUCGCCGGAAGACCAAGGGUUCCUGUCCAACGUUAAUCGGGGCAGGGUGAGUCGACCCCUAAGGCGAGGCCGAAAGGCGUAGUCGAUGGGAAACAGGUUAAUAUUCCUGUACUUGGUGUUACUGCGAAGGGGGGACGGAGAAGGCUAUGUUGGCCGGGCGACGGUUGUCCCGGUUUAAGCGUGUAGGCUGGUUUUCCAGGCAAAUCCGGAAAAUCAAGGCUGAGGCGUGAUGACGAGGCACUACGGUGCUGAAGCAACAAAUGCCCUGCUUCCAGGAAAAGCCUCUAAGCAUCAGGUAACAUCAAAUCGUACCCCAAACCGACACAGGUGGUCAGGUAGAGAAUACCAAGGCGCUUGAGAGAACUCGGGUGAAGGAACUAGGCAAAAUGGUGCCGUAACUUCGGGAGAAGGCACGCUGAUAUGUAGGUGAAGUCCCUCGCGGAUGGAGCUGAAAUCAGUCGAAGAUACCAGCUGGCUGCAACUGUUUAUUAAAAACACAGCACUGUGCAAACACGAAAGUGGACGUAUACGGUGUGACGCCUGCCCGGUGCCGGAAGGUUAAUUGAUGGGGUCAGCGCAAGCGAAGCUCUUGAUCGAAGCCCCGGUAAACGGCGGCCGUAACUAUAACGGUCCUAAGGUAGCGAAAUUCCUUGUCGGGUAAGUUCCGACCUGCACGAAUGGCGUAAUGAUGGCCAGGCUGUCUCCACCCGAGACUCAGUGAAAUUGAACUCGCUGUGAAGAUGCAGUGUACCCGCGGCAAGACGGAAAGACCCCGUGAACCUUUACUAUAGCUUGACACUGAACAUUGAGCCUUGAUGUGUAGGAUAGGUGGGAGGCUUUGAAGUGUGGACGCCAGUCUGCAUGGAGCCGACCUUGAAAUACCACCCUUUAAUGUUUGAUGUUCUAACGUGGACCCGUAAUCCGGGUUGCGGACAGUGUCUGGUGGGUAGUUUGACUGGGGCGGUCUCCUCCUAAAGAGUAACGGAGGAGCACGAAGGUUGGCUAAUCCUGGUCGGACAUCAGGAGGUUAGUGCAAUGGCAUAAGCCAGCUUGACUGCGAGCGUGACGGCGCGAGCAGGUGCGAAAGCAGGUCAUAGUGAUCCGGUGGUUCUGAAUGGAAGGGCCAUCGCUCAACGGAUAAAAGGUACUCCGGGGAUAACAGGCUGAUACCGCCCAAGAGUUCAUAUCGACGGCGGUGUUUGGCACCUCGAUGUCGGCUCAUCACAUCCUGGGGCUGAAGUAGGUCCCAAGGGUAUGGCUGUUCGCCAUUUAAAGUGGUACGCGAGCUGGGUUUAGAACGUCGUGAGACAGUUCGGUCCCUAUCUGCCGUGGGCGCUGGAGAACUGAGGGGGGCUGCUCCUAGUACGAGAGGACCGGAGUGGACGCAUCACUGGUGUUCGGGUUGUCAUGCCAAUGGCACUGCCCGGUAGCUAAAUGCGGAAGAGAUAAGUGCUGAAAGCAUCUAAGCACGAAACUUGCCCCGAGAUGAGUUCUCCCUGACUCCUUGAGAGUCCUGAAGGAACGUUGAAGACGACGACGUUGAUAGGCCGGGUGUGUAAGCGCAGCGAUGCGUUGAGCUAACCGGUACUAAUGAACCGUGAGGCUUAACCUU
This 2904-nucleotide ribosomal RNA is filed under the name Escherichia coli. Its description in RNAcentral is "23S ribosomal RNA". It matches the Rfam family "Bacterial large subunit ribosomal RNA". The record is from RNAcentral. Lineage: Bacteria; Pseudomonadati; Pseudomonadota; Gammaproteobacteria; Enterobacterales; Enterobacteriaceae.